UUUUAGGUAAACCCCACAAUUAUGAUCCAUAUUUAUGCGGAUGUUGAUAAGUUUUUAUCGAAGAUGGACUUCAUCGAAAUGAUAUGCGCACAUUUGAAAUGGCCGUGGUCAUUAACUCAUUUUAUAUUUUGUUCUCGUUGUUAUGGAUGUGGUUUCCAGAUAGCCCGUGGAAAUAGACCGUUACAUUUUGUUUUAACAGACAAAAAUGUAAAUAAUUUAUUACGUUAUGGUUUAUUUUGGUCACCAACCCGCCUGCCCAGCGUGGUGACUAUGGGCAAAACACAUGAGU
This 289-nucleotide unclassified non-coding RNA is filed under the name Melitaea cinxia (Glanville fritillary). RNAcentral describes it as "misc RNA ENSMCXG00005008211.1". Lineage: Eukaryota; Metazoa; Arthropoda; Insecta; Lepidoptera; Nymphalidae. The record is from RNAcentral.